Molecule: ribosomal RNA, 427 nt
Filed under: uncultured bacterium
Lineage: Bacteria
Description: bacterial SSU rRNA
Rfam family: Bacterial small subunit ribosomal RNA
Source: RNAcentral
UGGGGAAUUUUGGACAAUGGGCGAAAGCCUGUUCCAGCAAUGCCGCGUGCAGGAUGAGGGCCUUCGUGUUGUAAACUGCUUUUGUACGGAACGAAAAAGCUUCUCCUAAUACGAGAGGCCCAUGACGGUACCGUAAGAAUAAGCACCGGCUAACUACGUGCCAGCAGCCGCGGUAAUACGUAGGGUUCGAGCGUUAAUCGGAAUUACUGUGCGUAAAGCGUGCGCAGGCGGUGAUGUAAGACAGAUGUGAAAUCCCCGGGCUCAACCUGAGAACUGCAUUUAUGACUGCAUGGCUAGAGUACGGUAGAGGGGGAUAGAAUUCCGCGUGUAGCAGUGAAAUGCGUAGAUAUGCAGAGAAACACCGAUGGAGAAGGCAAUCCCCAGGACCUGUACUGACGAUCAUGCACGAAAGCGUGGGGAGCAAGCA